RNAcentral lists this unclassified non-coding RNA (655 nucleotides) under Hevea brasiliensis (rubber tree). Lineage: Eukaryota; Viridiplantae; Streptophyta; Magnoliopsida; Malpighiales; Euphorbiaceae. The record is from RNAcentral.
GAGAAAGAGGAGGAGGAGGAGGAGCAAGCAAAGAGAAUACUAUCAGUGAAUGGAAUCCUUAAAGGCCAGAUCCUGAAUGGAGUUUGUACUGCAAAAUACAAGGAUGAAGCUUUGGAUCUGAGAUACUGCUUUAAGGAUGAGCAAAUGACAUUUAUUCCUAGCAUUUCCUUGCCUUCAAAUGCAAUGUCAUUUGCCUUCAAGCGUCGAUUCGGUCCUUCAGACAAGUUGAGCUACUGGUAUAAUUUGGACACAAACUACUGGAGCACCGUCUAUAAACACAAUAUUGGAAAAGACUACAAGUUUAAAGCUGGUUAUGAUUCGGAAGUGCGACUUGGGUGGGCAUCUCUUUGGGUUGGCGAGGAGAGCGGAAAAGCAAAGACAGCUCCCAUGAAGAUGAAAGUACAAUUUAUGCUUCAAGUGCCUCAAGAUGACAUCACAUCUUCAACUUUGAUGUUCCGCGCAAAGAAGAGGUGGGAUAUAUGAACUAUGAUGUCAUAAGACCCCUCCCCCACUCUCUUACCCUGCUGUAUCGAGAUAGUUGUUUACAGUGGAAAAUGGAUUGUUUCAUUCCUAAAAAUAUUAUCUGUCGCCUAUUCUGAAUCUUUCUACCAUAUUCAUUUAUGUUGUUACUUUCAUAUAUGUUAGUUAAAGCUUA